CCUACGGGGGGCAGCAGUGGGGGAUAUUGCACAAUGGGGGAAACCCUGAUGCAGCGACGCCGCGUGGGUGAAGAAGUAUUUCGGUAUGUAAAGUCCUAUCAGCAGGGAAGAAAGAAGACGGUACCUGACUAAGAAGCCCCGGCUAACUACGUGCCAGCAGCCGCGGUAAUACGUAGGGGGCGAGCGUUAUCCGGAUUCACUGGGUGUAAAGGGAGCGUAGACGGCCGUGCAAGCCAGGAGUGAAAGCCCGGGGCCCAACCCCGGGACUGCUCUUGGAACUGUGCGGCUGGAGUGCGGGAGGGGCAGGCGGAAUUCCUGGUGUAGCGGUGAAAUGCGUAGAUAUCAGGAGGAACACCGGCGGCGAAGGCGGCCUGCUGGACCGCGACUGACGUUGAGGCUCGAAAGCGUGGGGAGCGAACAGGAUUAGAUACCCCUGUAGUC
RNAcentral lists this ribosomal RNA (441 nucleotides) under uncultured bacterium. RNAcentral describes it as "partial 16S ribosomal RNA". It matches the Rfam family "Bacterial small subunit ribosomal RNA", at positions 338 to 795 of the family's 1533-position model. The record is from RNAcentral.